Long non-coding RNA from Cyprinus carpio carpio, 871 nucleotides. NCBI's taxonomy places the organism in Eukaryota, Metazoa, Chordata, Actinopteri, Cypriniformes, Cyprinidae. The record is from Ensembl.
UGUGCAAGUCCAGAACAGAGAGUUGCAAUAAGGCCAAAAAUUGCCGAUCGCGUGAAGGCCAAAGUAUACUUCGGCCGUCGGUGUACCGUCGGCAUUACGUUAUUUUUGUCAAGAGGGCUCGCAGACAGCCGCGCACCCGUGGAACUGUAGUGCGCAUUUGUCGGGCUCAUCCGUCCAUGCUCAUCUGCAGUUGAGUAUACUUUUGAAAGCUGUGUGGACACAGCUGUGCAUGAGACGGAAAGGAACGCUGAAUGUGAAGUGUACCCAGGCCUUAAGUUCCGGGAGCAGCUCCUUAAGUUCAGCCAUCCUACACACACGUGACUGACUGCUCGCUCGCACCAACAGGAGGAGGAGGGGUCAGUUGCUUGCAGUGUUUGGCUAAUCACAAUGCACUAGGUUAGUUGGCCAAUCAGAGCAGACUGUGCUUGUCGGAAGGACUUUGUAGAAAACGACGCACUUGAGAGAGGUCAGAAGUGGGGCAAAUGCUUGUAUGUCAGAAAUGGAGGAGGGCAUCGGUAUACUGUCGAAGAUUUGUUGUCAACCUGUGCUGAAUCCAGUAAUACAGAAUACAGAAGUGCCAAUUAUAAAGGGUUCUGUUGUCUAUCGUAUUGCACCACUCACAUCCGGUGUAAAGGGGUAAAAUGAGCAAAGCUCCAGAUCACGUCAGUGAAACACUGUUUGUUUGUUUGCUUCAGGACUGUUUGUUUGUUUGCUAUGGAUUAAUUUUUAAACAAGAGAAACAAUUAUGCACUUGUGAUUAGAGCAAUGGAGCAUGGAAAAUGUAGUCCAGGGUGAUGUGUAACAGUCAGUGUAGUGUGAAAGUCCAUGUGAAGAACGGGUGACCUCUGGUGGUGAGUGAAAAGAAGUUUAU